This 592-nucleotide ribosomal RNA is filed under the name uncultured bacterium. RNAcentral's name for it is "bacterial SSU rRNA". It matches the Rfam family "Bacterial small subunit ribosomal RNA", at positions 338 to 917 of the family's 1533-position model. The record is from RNAcentral.
CCUACGGGAGGCAGCAGUGGGGAAUUUUGGACAAUGGGCGCAAGCCUGAUCCAGCAAUGCCGCGUGAGUGAAGAAGGCCUUCGGGUUGUAAAGCUCUUUUGUCAGGGAAGAAACGGUUGAGGCUAAUAUCCUCGGCUAAUGACGGUACCUGAAGAAUAAGCACCGGCUAACUACGUGCCAGCAGCCGCGGUAAUACGUAGGGUGCAAGCGUUAAUCGGAAUUACUGGGCGUAAAGCGUGCGCAGGCGGUUUUGUAAGUCUGUCGUGAAAGCCCCGGGCUUAACCUGGGAAUUGCGAUGGAGACUGCAAGGCUUGAAUCUGGCAGAGGGGGGGUAGAAUUCCACGUGUAGCAGUGAAAUGCGUAGAGAUGUGGAGGAACACCGAUGGCGAAGGCAGCCCCCUGGGUCAAGAUUGACGCUCAUGCACGAAAGCGUGGGGAGCAAACAGGAUUAGAUACCCUGGUAGUCCACGCCCUAAACGAUGUCUACUAGUUGUCGGGUCUUAAUUGACUUGGUAACGCAGCUAACGCGUGAAAGUAGACCGCCUGGGGGAGUACGGUCGCAAAGAUUAAAAACUCAAAAGGAAUUGAACGG